This 391-nucleotide ribosomal RNA is filed under the name uncultured bacterium. Its description in RNAcentral is "bacterial SSU rRNA". It matches the Rfam family "Bacterial small subunit ribosomal RNA", at positions 361 to 769 of the family's 1533-position model. The record is from RNAcentral.
AUAUUGCACAAUGGGGGAAACCCUGAUGCAGCGACGCCGCGUGGAGGAAGAAGGUUUUCGGAUUGUAAACUCCUGUCUUCGGGGACGAUAAUGACGGUACCCGAGGAGGAAGCCACGGCUAACUACGUGCCAGCAGCCGCGGUAAAACGUAGGUGGCAAGCGUUGUCCGGAAUUACUGGGUGUAAAGGGAGCGCAGGCGGGUCGGCAAGUUGGAGGUGAAAGCUGUGGGCUCAACUCACAAACUGCCUUCAAAACUGCCGGUCUUGAGUGGUGUAGAGGUAGGCGGAAUUCCCGGUGUAGCGGUGGAAUGCGUAGAUAUCGGGAGGAACACCAGUGGCGAAGGCGGCCUACUGGGCACUAACUGACGCUGAGGCUCGAAAGCAUGGGUAGC